Long non-coding RNA from Heterocephalus glaber (naked mole-rat), 749 nucleotides. The record is from Ensembl. Lineage: Eukaryota; Metazoa; Chordata; Mammalia; Rodentia; Bathyergidae.
CGACUCGCUUGUCGAGUCCCACCAUGCUUUCUGCCAUGAGCUUCCUACACAGUCCUUUUUUGUGAGCUCACUAAACUCAUCCUUAAAUAAGUCCCCACGUGCAGAACAUUUAUCAGGUCACCCUGAGGUGACCUCAAGAGCUGUCCUCUGAACUCAUCGUCUGGGACUGCCCUUGCUCACUGCACGACAGCCCCCGCGACUCCUGGCUGUGCUCAAACACACAAGGUGUGCUGCUGCCUGGCGUCCUCGCGUGGGACAUCUCUGCCUCCUCUCCCCAGGGAGCAGGUUUCUCUCACUUGCUUCAUGUCUUUGCCUGAUGUGGUGAGUUUUGGAGGAACAUUCACUACCAUCACAUUUAUCAUUCACAUUUAUAAACAACAAAUUGUUUCCUGCAUAACAUAAAAAAAUCUCAGGAUGAUAUGAAGAAGAGGAACAGAAGGGAAGUCAAAGGAAAAAAGUCAACCCUAGAGGGGCCUUACAGCCAGCCCUAGAAGUAAAUGAUUUCAGUGAACAAGCAACCACCAGCCAGACAAGAUCACUCAUAUCUUAGGGGCAACAAAAUGAAUGGUUGGUUGGCCAUGGUAGACCAGAUGUCUCUUUCCCCUUCCUGUGUGGACACUACAUAAAUUCUUAGAGAUAUGGUUAUAAUUUCAUAAAAUGGAAAAAAAGACUUUGAACUACCUGAAUUUUACCUCAAGCUGGAGUAACAGGUGGAUUAAAAUACAAAAUCAGUCCAGUUAAAGAAAAGC